This 429-nucleotide ribosomal RNA is filed under the name Bacteroidota bacterium. RNAcentral's name for it is "Bacteroidetes bacterium partial 16S ribosomal RNA". It matches the Rfam family "Bacterial small subunit ribosomal RNA", at positions 355 to 776 of the family's 1533-position model. The record is from RNAcentral. Lineage: Bacteria; Pseudomonadati; Bacteroidota.
UAGGGAAUCUUCGGCAAUGGGGGGAACCCUGACCGAGCAACGCCGCGUGAGUGAAGAAGGUUUUCGGAUCGUAAAGCUCUGUUGUUAAGGAAGAACGAGUGUGAGAAUGGAAAGUUCAUACUGUGACGGUACUUAACCAGAAAGGGACGGCUAACUACGUGCCAGCAGCCGCGGUAAUACGUAGGUCCCGAGCGUUGUCCGGAUUUAUUGGGCGUAAAGCGAGCGCAGGCGGUUAGAUAAGUCUGAAGUUAAAGGCAGUGGCUCAACCAUUGUAGGCUUUGGAAACUGUUUAACUUGAGUGCAGAAGAGGAGAGUGGAAUUCCAUGGGUAGCGGUGAAAUGCGUAGAUAUAUGGAGGAACACCGGUGGCGAAAGCGGCUCUCUGGUCUGUAACUGACGCUGAGGCUCGAAAGCGUGGGGAGCGAACAGG